AUGAAACAGCCCUGUUUUUUGUUCGACAAAAAAUGUAGCAUUCUGAGUUUCGCAGUUGAGUACUCAGAUCAGCGGAAAAUAUACCAGAAAACAACGUUUGCUAGCAAACUGUGCAAUAUAUUUUGUUAGCAGGAGAGCGUGAUCACUCCGUACGAUUACACUGCUCAGGAGCCUUUUUGUUGAGUGAAAAGUGAAUAAAAGGUUAAUAAAACAGUGGAAGCGAAAUGGAUCCAUGCAGGAGAUUGCCUUCAGUGUGAUUGGCGGCUCUUACAUUAGCGGAGGAGAAGGAUAAUCAACGAAAUUGGCGCCGACAACAUUGAGUACACCCAUAUCUGCAGGAAAGAAACCAGGAGGGUCAUUUGUCUAAACAUGUGACUACUAUAAACAAUAUAAAUAUGUGUAUAUGUAUUUAAACGCAUCUAACAAUAUUCUUUGCACAUUCCGCAGUUUAAAAGUAUGACUCAAAGGACAUCAGUAUUCUUUGAGAAUUUGCACAUAUCUGAGAAGAACAUCUGCAGCCCUUUUGGAUUGGUGGAGCAGCAAGGCCGUGCCAAGGAAUAUUUACGCC
RNAcentral lists this long non-coding RNA (568 nucleotides) under Drosophila guanche. The record is from RNAcentral. Lineage: Eukaryota; Metazoa; Arthropoda; Insecta; Diptera; Drosophilidae.